CCUGAGAAACCCGAAAGAUCGAAUGGGGAGAUUCAUCGUCAGCGAUUUUGGUACGUGUGCGGCUCGCGAUGUCUGAGACUUCGGUCUCGUGGCACGUGUCCGCAUGUUUUUUAUUGCUGGAAUCGUCGGCGUGCACUUCUCCCCUAGUAGGACGUCGCGACCCGUUGGGUGUCGGUCUACGGCACGGUAGGUAGCCUGUCUCGUGUGGCGCUUCGCGGCGUUACGCGGGGCAGACCUCCGUUCGCCCGACCGGCUGCUCGGMGGUACUCGCACGGUAUCUGGCCGCAGACAUACGAACUGCGUCCGGCCCGUCGCAAGCGCGGCAAGUGUUUCCCGGCUGUACGGAUCUAAUGCCGUCACCGGGCCUUGCCAGCUGUUGGUUGACGGUGUCCUAGGACUGGCUAACAAAAUUAUGAUACCGGUCGGCGACGCUACUGCUUUGGGUACUUUCAGGACCCGUCUUGAAACACGGA
Molecule: ribosomal RNA, 473 nt
Filed under: Dilopharius sp. BF000994
Lineage: Eukaryota; Metazoa; Arthropoda; Insecta; Hymenoptera; Ichneumonidae
Description: eukaryotic LSU rRNA
Source: RNAcentral